AGUGGCGGACGGGUGAGUAACGCGUGGGCAACCAACCCUGUACAGGGGGAUAACACCGGGAAACCGGUGCUAAUACCGCAUAAAGCCGGUAAAGCGCAUGCUUUAUUGGUGAAAACCGAGGUGGUACAGGACGGGCCCGCGUCCCAUUAGCUAGUUGGUGAGAUAACAGCCCACCAAGGCGACGAUGGGUAGCCGACCUGAGAGGGUGACCGGCCACACUGGGACUGAGACACGGCCCAGACUCCUACGGGAGGCAGCAGUGGGGAAUAUUGCGCAAUGGGGGAAACCCUGACGCAGCGACGCCGCGUGAGCGAAGAAGGCCUUCGGGUCGUAAAGCUCUGUUCUGGGGGACGAAAAGAUGACGGUACCCCAGGAGAAAGCCCCGGCUAACUACGUGCCAGCAGCCGCGGUAAUAC
This 416-nucleotide ribosomal RNA is filed under the name uncultured bacterium. RNAcentral's name for it is "bacterial SSU rRNA". It matches the Rfam family "Bacterial small subunit ribosomal RNA", at positions 94 to 526 of the family's 1533-position model. The record is from RNAcentral.